UAGCUUAACGGCAGAGCAUAUGUUUAGUAUGCAUAAUGCCCUGGGUUUCAUCCCCAG
Molecule: transfer RNA, 57 nt
Filed under: Cavia porcellus (domestic guinea pig)
Lineage: Eukaryota; Metazoa; Chordata; Mammalia; Rodentia; Caviidae
Rfam family: tRNA
About the family: Transfer RNA (tRNA) molecules are approximately 80 nucleotides in length.
Source: Rfam by way of RNAcentral